Molecule: transfer RNA, 69 nt
Filed under: Sphaerodactylus townsendi
Lineage: Eukaryota; Metazoa; Chordata; Lepidosauria; Squamata; Sphaerodactylidae
Description: tRNA-Glu
Source: RNAcentral
GCUGUGGUUCAGUGGAAGAGCCUCGACUUUUCAUGCAGAAGGUCCCUGGUUCAAUCCCCGGCAUCUGCA